AUUAACCUAGCAUUAGCUUUAAUAAUCAACACCUUGCAAGCCCUAUUACUGAUAAUUAUUAUUACAUUCUGACUAUCACAACUCCAUACUUACAUAGAAAAGUCUAACCCUUAUGAAUGCGGGUUUGAUCUAUUAUCCUCCACCCGCAUUCCUUUAUAAAAUUUUUCCUAAUUGCCAUCACCUUUCUAUUAUUUGACUUAGAAAUUGCCCUAGUAUUAUCCUUACCAUGAGCCCUUCAAACAACCAACCUACCACUAAUAAUUAAUUCAUCCCUUAUACUAGUACUAGGUCUGACUUAUGAAUGAACUCAAAAGGGGUUAGACUGGGCC
This 329-nucleotide long non-coding RNA is filed under the name Homo sapiens (human). RNAcentral describes it as "non-protein coding lnc-TECRL-9:1". Lineage: Eukaryota; Metazoa; Chordata; Mammalia; Primates; Hominidae. The record is from RNAcentral.